This 77-nucleotide transfer RNA is filed under the name Candidatus Saccharibacteria bacterium RIFCSPHIGHO2_01_FULL_46_30. RNAcentral's name for it is "tRNA-Met". It matches the Rfam family "tRNA". Rfam says of the family: Transfer RNA (tRNA) molecules are approximately 80 nucleotides in length. Their secondary structure includes four short double-helical elements and three loops (D, anti-codon, and T loops). The record is from RNAcentral. RNAcentral also lists the same sequence under 3 other names. Lineage: Bacteria; Candidatus Saccharimonadota.
GGCAGCGUAGCUCAGUUGGUUAGAGCGCAAGACUCAUAAGCUUGAGGUCACAGGUUCAAUUCCUGUCGCUGCUACCA